AAUGGCUCAUUAAAACAGUUAUAGUUUAUUUGAUAAUUAAAGAUUACAUGGAUAACCGAGCUAAUUGUUGGGCUAAUACAUGCUUAAAAUUCCGUGUCCUGUGACCGGAACGUAUUUAUUAGAUAUUAGACCAAUCGCAGUAAUGUGAUUGAGAUGAAUCAAAGUAACUGAUCGAAUCGUAGCUUGCUACGAUAAAUCAUCUAAGUUUCUGCCCUAUCAGCUCUCGAUGGUAGUGUAUUGGACUACCAUGGCAGUCACGGGUAACGGAGAAUUAGGGUUCGAUUCCGGAGAAGGAGCCUGAGAAACGACUACUACAACUACGGUUCGGCAGCAGGGAAGAAAAUUGGCCAAUCCUAAUUCAGGGAGCCAGUGACAAGAAAUAGCAAGCUGGGAAACUAAGUUUCUACGGCAUUGAAAUGAGAAAAGUGUUAAUCUCUUAGCGAGGAACAAUUGGAGGGCAAGUCAUGGUGCCAGCAGCCGCGGUAAUUCCAGCUCCAAUAGCGUAUAUUAAAGUUGUUGCAGUUAAAAAGCUCGUAGUUGAACUUCUGUUCAGGUUCAUUUCGACUCGUCGAGUGAAACUGGGCAUACGUCUGCAAACUAAAAUCGGCCUUCACUGGUUCGACUUAGGGAGUAGGCAUUUUACUGUGAAAAAAUUAGAGUGUUUCAGGCAGGUUUUAGCCCGAAUACAUUAGCAUGGAAUAAUGGAAUAGGACUAAGUCCAUUUUAUUG
RNAcentral lists this ribosomal RNA (729 nucleotides) under uncultured eukaryote. Its description in RNAcentral is "SSU rRNA". It matches the Rfam family "Eukaryotic small subunit ribosomal RNA", at positions 92 to 844 of the family's 1831-position model. The record is from RNAcentral.